RNAcentral lists this transfer RNA (83 nucleotides) under Pseudomonadota bacterium. RNAcentral's name for it is "Proteobacteria bacterium (sediment metagenome) tRNA-Leu". It matches the Rfam family "tRNA". From Rfam's summary of the family: Transfer RNA (tRNA) molecules are approximately 80 nucleotides in length. Their secondary structure includes four short double-helical elements and three loops (D, anti-codon, and T loops). Further hydrogen bonds mediate the characteristic L-shaped molecular structure. tRNAs have two regions of fundamental functional importance: the anti-codon, which is responsible for specific mRNA codon recognition, and the 3' end, to which the tRNAs corresponding amino acid is attached (by aminoacyl-tRNA synthetases). tRNAs cope with the degeneracy of the genetic code in two manners: having more than one tRNA (with a specific anti-codon) for a particular amino acid; and 'wobble' base-pairing, i.e. permitting non-standard base-pairing at the 3rd anti-codon position. The record is from RNAcentral. Lineage: Bacteria; Pseudomonadati; Pseudomonadota.
GCCCAGGUGGUGGAAUUGGCAGACACGCUAUCUUGAGGGGGUAGUGGUGAUGAACCGUGCGGGUUCGAGUCCCGCCUUCGGCA